AUCCAAACGACGAGUCCAAAAUAGGACGAAAUGCGCAUUCUAGAU
This is a non-coding RNA of Trichobilharzia regenti, 45 nucleotides long. Lineage: Eukaryota; Metazoa; Platyhelminthes; Trematoda; Strigeidida; Schistosomatidae. The record is from Rfam.